This 23-nucleotide non-coding RNA is filed under the name Arabidopsis thaliana (thale cress). The record is from RNAcentral. Lineage: Eukaryota; Viridiplantae; Streptophyta; Magnoliopsida; Brassicales; Brassicaceae.
AUCAAGAUGUUGUGUUUCUCACA